UUGAAUGUGUAAUGCCUUGCCAUUGCCAAUUUGCUUUGGAUCAUAGUUUUAUAUGUAUAGGCCUUCCUUCAUGAUUGGAGUUAGUUUUAUAUUCAGAGGCCUUCUUUCAUGAUUGGAGUUCCCUUCUGAAUGUUCUGACUACAACAAAGAUUUUGGUAUCAAAAUCUUCACAUUCAGACUUCGUUUUAUCGUAAUUGUAACAUGAUCUGCAACAGUGUUCUGAAGCUUUUAUGCAUACUCGGAUGAGACGUCGUGUGGACUCGUUGAUUCAGGCUCUGGAUCGUGCAAAACCAGAAUCGGAGAAGUCUGAAGAAUGUGCAGAAAACAGAUCCUUCAGAGGAAUGAGCAUCAACAACAUAGAUAAUACUUUUCAGAGCUCCAAAAACAUGGAUCAUAAUUCUCAGAGCUUCAAGAUCACAGAUAAUACUUCUCAGAGUUCCAAGAACAUAAAUCACACUUUUCGGAGCUUCAAGUAAAUAGAUUGACUCAAUGAAAAUUAGGAACUGCUUGACAGAAAUGUAAUAAAUUUUGCUCCUGGUGAAGACUUAGAGUGGUGAUCAUUAAUCAUCAUGUGGUUUUUCUUUGUUA
This is a long non-coding RNA of Daucus carota subsp. sativus, 588 nucleotides long. RefSeq lists it as uncharacterized. The transcript is spliced from 3 exons. NCBI's taxonomy places the organism in Eukaryota, Viridiplantae, Streptophyta, Magnoliopsida, Apiales, Apiaceae. The record is from RefSeq and is a predicted model, not a curated record.